Molecule: ribosomal RNA, 495 nt
Filed under: Boophis williamsi
Lineage: Eukaryota; Metazoa; Chordata; Amphibia; Anura; Mantellidae
Description: partial 16S ribosomal RNA
Rfam family: Bacterial large subunit ribosomal RNA
Source: RNAcentral
CGGCCGCGGUACCCUAACCGUGCGAAGGUAGCGUAAUCACUUGUUCUUUAAAUGAGGACUAGUAUCAACGGCAUCACGAGGAUCCUACUGUCUCCCCGCUCCAAUCAGUGAAACUGAUCUCUCCGUGAAGAAGCGGGGAUAUACAUAUAAGACGAGAAGACCCCAUGGAGCUUUAAACCCGGCAGCACCUAUUCUAUCAAUACCCUCACAUUCUCCUAGCAAAUGCUCGUCUGGUUUUAGGUUGGGGUGACCACGGAGUAAAAAACAACCUCCGCGAGAAAAGAAAUAAUAAUUCUUAUCAGCGAACCACACUUCUAUGAAUUAGUAAACUAAUUUUUAAUGAUCCGACUUUCGAUCAACGAACCAAGUUACCCUGGGGAUAACAGCGCAAUCCGCCUCAAGAGCCCCUAUCGACAGGCGGGUUUACGACCUCGAUGUUGGAUCAGGGUAUCCCAGUGGUGCAGCAGCUACUAAAGGUUCGUUUGUUCAACGAUU